Molecule: small RNA, 571 nt
Filed under: Pan troglodytes (chimpanzee)
Lineage: Eukaryota; Metazoa; Chordata; Mammalia; Primates; Hominidae
Description: sense intronic
Source: RNAcentral
CAUGCCUGGUUAAUUUUUUAAAAUUUUUUUUUUCUUUUAGAGAUGAGGUCUCACUCUGUUGCCCAGGCUGCUCUUUAACUCCUGGUCUCAAGCAAUCUGCCCACCUGGGCCUCCCAAAGUGCUGGGAUUACAGGUGUGAGCCACCACGCCUGGCCCUCUGUUAAUGUAUUAAUUUUAACUCUUUGUUUUGUUAUUUGAGGGAUUACUUUAGGGUUUUACAACUCAUUAAGUAAAAGGGGAUCAUCAUAAGUGUAUUGGAGGAGGAAGGGUUGGUCUUGCUGUGUCAGGGGUAGCGGAGGUACAUCUUGACUUACCACAGUUUCUUUCUUUCUUUUUUUAUUGUAUUCUUUACUCCUGGCAAGCUGUGACACAGUUAUUUUCAAGAGAUGUAAUAUACUACUUCACACGUAAGAACUGUACAAUUGUAUACCUUUUUUGCCAGUCCCAAUUUUUAUGCAGUUGUUUUCAUACAUUUUAUGUUCAUAUAUGUAAUAAAAUUAAUAAUAUGUUGUUAUUUUUAUUUAAAUGACCACUUAGGUUUUAAUGUGUACUUAAUAAACAGUAAGCAGUC